This is a long non-coding RNA of Brassica rapa (field mustard), 884 nucleotides long. RefSeq lists it as uncharacterized. The record is from RefSeq and is a predicted model, not a curated record. NCBI's taxonomy places the organism in Eukaryota, Viridiplantae, Streptophyta, Magnoliopsida, Brassicales, Brassicaceae.
CCGUUAUAUGACCAUUAUGAGUGGUCGAGAACCUUAUGGAGAAGUUUAUCUCUGUUUAACUGGUAUUUUUCUUCUUAAUCUUGAUGGUGAUUGUUGAUGCUUAUAUGGUGCUAAGGGCUGAGGUAAGUUGACUGUCUAUGAGUUUUCCGUAACAGUUGUGUUGUAAGUUACACGUUUGGUUUUAUUGUUCUGAGUUAAUGAAAUUGUUGUUAUCACUCUUUAAUUGUUUGAUGGACACAGCUUUAUCUUCUUGUGUGUAUGUUUUAUAUUCACACCAGGUAUGAGAUUUGAAAUGUUUAAUUGCAAAGAGAAAUGAACAUAAGUCCUCUAAAAGAAAGAAGCUACUCUAAUUUAAAAAUAUAAUAAAACACUUAAAAUAGGUCAUUCUGUUUUGUAAUUCCAAAAAAAAAUGCAGUCGGAUUAUUUAGAAAAAAAUAAUAAACAAAGUGGUUCUAAUUAGUUAAAAAGAAUGAAAAUCUGUAAGAAAUCACUUAAAAAUAAGAAUGUAUUGUUUUUUACUUCAGUUUUAAUAGAAUAGAUUAUUGUUAACCAAACUUUCUUAACUGGUUAAACCAAAAAAAAAUCUAAUUUUAAUCAAACCCGGGUUAUUUAUCAGUUUAUUGUUUUAUUCUUAACUAGAUAUGUGAAAGAAGAACGUGAUCCGCAAGUCGUGUCCAAACAGCUCAAUAGCAGAACGGGUGUGUACAUAUUUAUACAACCUACAAUUUAUUGUGGAACGACCACACAUACCAAAAGAAAAUCAAUUCUAAUAUGGGUUGGAAUACUUGAACGCGGACCAGUACGCUUGAAAUUUCUUAGACCAAUAAUUUAACCGGAAAAUAGUAAUAUAAGAAAUAUAUAUAUAUAUAUAUAUAUAUAUAUAU